GAGAAAAUUAUUGAAAUAUAUAGUUGAGUAUCAUCAUGAAUUCAUGAAGACUCUUCCCAUUCCAGGUCUGAACAUCACGCCGCUAGAAGAAUGCAGGACCACAGGACGGUGUGUAGAUCUUCUUAACAAUAUAGAGAACAUGACAGCAGAAGUGCUUCCAUUGACAAAUGUGACCAGCAUUUUGAAUGUGGUCCUCAAUGCUUCAGACAUGUUUUUGGAGUCAUCGUCAGCUGACCCAAAUAAACUGGUGUCAUAUGGAAACCGUAUGUUAAAAGCCAGUGAGAAACUUGUGGCCAUGCUCGUAAAACCAACAAACACAAGUGACUAUGUCACUUUUACUCUUGACACUUUGAAGGUAGAAAUCUUCAUGGUUGGACCACAGGUCACCCUAGAGAAAAUCCCUAGACUUAACACGACAGAUUCUUCUGUGGACAUCGAUCUCAUUGGGAUCGCCAAGAACAACAAUGAAACAAGUAUGUUAAAUGUUGUGAUGUGAUUUUAUCAAACAAAAGAGAUAGAAUAUAACUAAACA
This 532-nucleotide long non-coding RNA is filed under the name Sinocyclocheilus grahami. RNAcentral describes it as "lncRNA (ENSSGRG00000004775.1)". The record is from RNAcentral. Lineage: Eukaryota; Metazoa; Chordata; Actinopteri; Cypriniformes; Cyprinidae.